AUACGGAAGGUCCGGGCGUUAUCCGGAUUUAUUGGGUUUAAAGGGAGCGCAGGCGGAGAUGCAAGCGUGACGUCAAAUUUCGGGGCUCAACCCCGUCUCGCGUCGCGAACUGCGUCCCUUGGUUGCGGGAAGGGGAGGCGGAACUCGCGGUGGAGGGGGGACAUGCAUAGACAUUACGAAGAACUCCGAUCGCGAAGGCAGCCUUCCGGCCCGUCAACGACGCUCAUGCUCGAAGGUGCGGGUAUCAAACAGGAUUAGAUACCCUGGUAGUCCGCACAGUAAACGAUGGACACCCGCGGUUUGGCCUAUAUGGCUGAGCCGCCAAGCGAAAGCGUUAAGUGUCCCACCUGGGGAGUACGCCGGCAACGGUGAAACUCAAAGGAAUUGACGGGG
This 393-nucleotide ribosomal RNA is filed under the name uncultured bacterium. RNAcentral describes it as "partial 16S ribosomal RNA". It matches the Rfam family "Bacterial small subunit ribosomal RNA", at positions 523 to 918 of the family's 1533-position model. The record is from RNAcentral.